GAGUAGCGGUUGGGGCUGUGGUGUGCGCCGCUUCCCGAGGGCGGGCGGGGGGAUGCCUGCGCUUCUCUUUUAUGCUGGGCUGCUGGGGAGGUCUGCCCGGAGUGCCGCUCGCCUAGUGCUAGAGGCUGGAGCUGGCGAGCGAGGCGCGCACGUUGGAGCAGCGGCCGCGGACAGGUGCAGGCUAGCGGCGGGGCCGUCCGGUGGUGCAUGGCUCCCCGCUGCUGCCGCCGUUGCGGAGGAGAGUGGAUGGAGGGAUGGACUACAUGUUCCAGAACACCGCGCGCCCUCGCGGAGAGGAAGGCGGUGGCGUAACAUGGCCAGUUGCCUCUGCAGGAAGUGGUGUCCUGUGGCGCGGGGCACGCUGGGGCCUGUAGUUUGCGGCAGCGGUCGGCGAGGGCGGCGGGCACCAUCUUGCUCUGAUGAGGGCGGCGCCCGGCGAGGCGCGGCUGGCCUGCGCCAUUUUGAUCGCUUGCAGGCCCGGCCGGCGGUAGGGGGCCGUGUCGGGUGCCCUCGGGCUGAUUGUAUGGAAGAUGCUGCUUGCCGGCGGCAUCGGCUGUGGUUGGGAGCCGGCUCUUGCCUGGGUGGUGCUGGCUUUCGUUUCAUUCCCUUGCCUUUUGAGUUCACACUUAAAAUGCUGGUUAAUGCUGAGGAAUGAAAUCGACCUAAACAUCACCAUGGGAAUGAGGUGUUCUAGUAUGAUGGAGGAGUUUUCAGUGGUGUCCAGUGUAGAAGCAUUAAGAGGAAAAUUAUCAAAAAUGUAGGAACAAAUGCUUUUAGCUUAUUAAGUGAUGAGUUGGAACACUUUGCCAGUGCUGCCUUACAAAUGUGGAUGAUCUGUAACUGAAAGGAAGAGUAACACCGGAAGAGUUUUUUGGUUUUUUUUUGGCUUGGAGUGGGAUGCUGUGCUUUUAAAAGCCUGCUGAAACAGCUGCUGCAGUUUCAUUUAGUGGAUACUGUUCUCAAAAGCUGCGUGUUAACCAAAAUCACACACUCUGCAUAUUUAAAACAGUGCUUUUCCCAAAACAUUGAGCUGCCCUCUGUAGGGAGGAUAGCAGCAAUAUUAGGGAAAUGAGUAUUGAGCUUCAAUAGAUGGAAAAACCCCUCAGGGUAUUUAGCUGUUUUAAAAUAUGAGGGUCUGCAGAGUUGCUGAUAAUGAAGAUCUGUAAUAAAACAAUGGAACUCACAGGUAGGCCCUGUAAAGACAGGGAGAAAGCAAAAUGGGUGCUCAAAUUCAAACUGGUGAACCUGCUUUUUGAGGGUGGUGUCAUGCAGGAGAUGGGAUGAAGCAGAGGAGGUGGAUGUGGCAUGGAAGCAUAAACAUGAAACACUUGUGAGAAAUACAUAACAGGUAUCGUGAGAAAUACAUAACAGGUAUCAUGAGAAAUGUGUGGUUACAGAAAAGGUAAUCUAUCUCAAAGCAUGACUCAGGCUGAUUUAUCAGAAAUGCUUUAAAAAGGAAGAAAUGCAAUAGUGACACGAUACGUAAAAAUUGAUAGAGCUACAGUAACUGAAUCAUUUCAAAAUGCAGCAGAAUAGAAAAAUCUACCCUUUAGGCUGCAGCCAAGAAUGACUACACUGGAUAUCAGCAGUGCUCUCCCUUGAGAGUUGGAGGAAUUCCUAUAGCUCAUGACCUGUGCUUGUAUCUAAGUGACAAAUUCCAUGAAAAGCCUAAUUUUCUGUUGAGGCAGUAUCGUGAAGAGCAGAACAUUACCGGUAGGAGCACUUAAAGCAUAGGGAAUAAAUACAGAAAUAAAUAUCCAUGUCACUACUAAAAUGUAUGCUAGGGGUAUGACUGAUCUCUGGGAACAUAUUGGCUGAGCACCUCCUGUGCUGUUAUUGCUAACAAGCAGAAACCAGUGACUUUGCCUAAAGGCUGCACCUUUUCAGCAAGCGGCUGUGUAAAUCACAAGGUAUUGGAACCUGCAGAAAUCUGCAGAGCAGCUUUCCCUUCAAUGGGAUUUAUUAUUUUGUGAACAAAUGCUACUGAGAAGGGUAGGUAUUUCCAUGUUCUAUGUUUUGUACUUGCUAUUUCUUGAAUAAAGAUGAGGAUAUGGAAAAC
This is a long non-coding RNA of Melopsittacus undulatus (budgerigar), 2059 nucleotides long. RefSeq lists it as uncharacterized. The transcript is spliced from 4 exons. The record is from RefSeq and is a predicted model, not a curated record. Lineage: Eukaryota; Metazoa; Chordata; Aves; Psittaciformes; Psittaculidae.